UACGGGGGGGGCAAGCGUUGUUCGGAAUUACUGGGCGUAAAGGGCUCGUAGGCGGCCAACUAAGUCGGAUGUGAAAUCCCCAGGCUCAACCUGGGAACUGCGUCCGAUACUGGAUGGCUUGAAUCCGGGAGAGGGAUGCAGAAUUCCAGGUGUAGCGGUGAAAUGCGUAGAUAUCUGGAGGAAUACCGGUGGCGAAGGCGGCAUCCUGGACCAACACUGACACUGAGGAGCGAAAGCCAGGGGAGCAAAAGGG
RNAcentral lists this ribosomal RNA (253 nucleotides) under uncultured bacterium. RNAcentral describes it as "partial 16S ribosomal RNA". It matches the Rfam family "Bacterial small subunit ribosomal RNA", at positions 524 to 776 of the family's 1533-position model. The record is from RNAcentral.